RNAcentral lists this ribosomal RNA (2900 nucleotides) under Klebsiella pneumoniae. Its description in RNAcentral is "bacterial LSU rRNA". It matches the Rfam family "Bacterial large subunit ribosomal RNA". The record is from RNAcentral. Lineage: Bacteria; Pseudomonadati; Pseudomonadota; Gammaproteobacteria; Enterobacterales; Enterobacteriaceae.
UUAAGCGACUAAGCGUACACGGUGGAUGCCCUGGCAGUCAGAGGCGAUGAAGGACGUGCUAAUCUGCGAAAAGCGUCGGUAAGGUGAUAUGAACCGUUACAGCCGGCGAUGUCCGAAUGGGGAAACCCAGUGCAAUUCGUUGCACUAUCGUUAACUGAAUACAUAGGUUAACGAGGCGAACCGGGGGAACUGAAACAUCUAAGUACCCCGAGGAAAAGAAAUCAACCGAGAUUCCCCCAGUAGCGGCGAGCGAACGGGGAGCAGCCCAGAGUCUGAAUCAGCUUGUGUGUUAGUGGAACGGUCUGGAAAGUCCGACGGUACAGGGUGAUAGUCCCGUACACCAAAAUGCACAGGCUGUGAACUCGAAGAGUAGGGCGGGACACGUGGUAUCCUGUCUGAAUAUGGGGGGACCAUCCUCCAAGGCUAAAUACUCCUGACUGACCGAUAGUGAACCAGUACCGUGAGGGAAAGGCGAAAAGAACCCCGGCGAGGGGAGUGAAAAAGAACCUGAAACCGUGUACGUACAAGCAGUGGGAGCACCUUCGGGUGUGACUGCGUACCUUUUGUAUAAUGGGUCAGCGACUUAUAUUCUGUAGCAAGGUUAACCGUAUAGGGGAGCCGCAGGGAAACCGAGUCUUAACUGGGCGUUAAGUUGCAGGGUAUAGACCCGAAACCCGGUGAUCUAGCCAUGGGCAGGUUGAAGGUUGGGUAACACUAACUGGAGGACCGAACCGACUAAUGUUGAAAAAUUAGCGGAUGACUUGUGGCUGGGGGUGAAAGGCCAAUCAAACCGGGAGAUAGCUGGUUCUCCCCGAAAGCUAUUUAGGUAGCGCCUCGUGAAUUCAUCUUCGGGGGUAGAGCACUGUUUCGGCUAGGGGGUCAUCCCGACUUACCAACCCGAUGCAAACUACGAAUACCGAAGAAUGUUAUCACGGGAGACACACGGCGGGUGCUAACGUCCGUCGUGAAGAGGGAAACAACCCAGACCGCCAGCUAAGGUCCCAAAGUCAUGGUUAAGUGGGAAACGAUGUGGGAAGGCACAGACAGCCAGGAUGUUGGCUUAGAAGCAGCCAUCAUUUAAAGAAAGCGUAAUAGCUCACUGGUCGAGUCGGCCUGCGCGGAAGAUGUAACGGGGCUAAACCAUGCACCGAAGCUGCGGCAGCGACACUAUGUGUUGUUGGGUAGGGGAGCGUUCUGUAAGCCUGCGAAGGUGACCUGUGAGGGUUGCUGGAGGUAUCAGAAGUGCGAAUGCUGACAUAAGUAACGAUAAAGCGGGUGAAAAGCCCGCUCGCCGGAAGACCAAGGGUUCCUGUCCAACGUUAAUCGGGGCAGGGUGAGUCGACCCCUAAGGCGAGGCCGAAAGGCGUAGUCGAUGGGAAACAGGUUAAUAUUCCUGUACUUGGUGUUACUGCGAAGGGGGGACGGAGAAGGCUAUGUUAGCCGGGCGACGGUUGUCCCGGUUUAAGCAUGUAGGCUGGUUAUCCAGGCAAAUCCGGAUAAUCAAGGCUGAGGUGUGAUGACGAGGCACUACGGUGCUGAAGUAACAAAUGCCCUGCUUCCAGGAAAAGCCUCUAAGCAUCAGGUAACAUCAAAUCGUACCCCAAACCGACACAGGUGGUCAGGUAGAGAAUACCAAGGCGCUUGAGAGAACUCGGGUGAAGGAACUAGGCAAAAUGGUGCCGUAACUUCGGGAGAAGGCACGCUGGUGUGUAGGUGAAGUCCCUGCGGAUGGAGCUGAGACCAGUCGAAGAUACCAGCUGGCUGCAACUGUUUAUUAAAAACACAGCACUGUGCAAACACGAAAGUGGACGUAUACGGUGUGACGCCUGCCCGGUGCCGGAAGGUUAAUUGAUGGGGUUAUCCGUAAGGAGAAGCUCUUGAUCGAAGCCCCGGUAAACGGCGGCCGUAACUAUAACGGUCCUAAGGUAGCGAAAUUCCUUGUCGGGUAAGUUCCGACCUGCACGAAUGGCGUAAUGAUGGCCAGGCUGUCUCCACCCGAGACUCAGUGAAAUUGAACUCGCUGUGAAGAUGCAGUGUACCCGCGGCAAGACGGAAAGACCCCGUGAACCUUUACUAUAGCUUGACACUGAACAUUGAGCCUUGAUGUGUAGGAUAGGUGGGAGGCUUUGAAGCGUGGACGCCAGUCUGCGUGGAGCCAACCUUGAAAUACCACCCUUUAAUGUUUGAUGUUCUAACGUUGGCCCCUGACCGGGGUUGCGGACAGUGUCUGGUGGGUAGUUUGACUGGGGCGGUCUCCUCCCAAAGCGUAACGGAGGAGCACGAAGGUUAGCUAAUCCUGGUCGGACAUCAGGAGGUUAGUGCAAUGGCAUAAGCUAGCUUGACUGCGAGCGUGACGGCGCGAGCAGGUGCGAAAGCAGGUCAUAGUGAUCCGGUGGUUCUGAAUGGAAGGGCCAUCGCUCAACGGAUAAAAGGUACUCCGGGGAUAACAGGCUGAUACCGCCCAAGAGUUCAUAUCGACGGCGGUGUUUGGCACCUCGAUGUCGGCUCAUCACAUCCUGGGGCUGAAGUAGGUCCCAAGGGUAUGGCUGUUCGCCAUUUAAAGUGGUACGCGAGCUGGGUUUAGAACGUCGUGAGACAGUUCGGUCCCUAUCUGCCGUGGGCGCUGGAGAAUUGAGGGGGGCUGCUCCUAGUACGAGAGGACCGGAGUGGACGCAUCACUGGUGUUCGGGUUGUCAUGCCAAUGGCACUGCCCGGUAGCUAAAUGCGGAAGAGAUAAGUGCUGAAAGCAUCUAAGCACGAAACUUGCCCCGAGAUGAGUUCUCCCUGAGACUUUAAGUCUCCUGAAGGAACGUUAAAGACGAUGACGUUGAUAGGCCGGGUGUGUAAGCGCAGCGAUGCGUUGAGCUAACCGGUACUAAUGAACCGUGAGGCUUAACCUU